CCUACGGGUGGCAGCAGUGGGGAAUAUUGCGCAAUGGGCGAAAGCCUGACGCAGCGACGCCGCGUGAGGGAUGGAGGUCUUCGGAUCGUAAACCUCUGUCAGCAGGGAAGAACGGUCACUGUGCUAAUCAGCAGUGAAUUGACGGUACCUGCAAAGGACGCACCGGCUAACUCCGUGCCAGCAGCCGCGGUAAUACGGAGGGUGCGAGCGUUAAUCGGAAUUACUGGGCGUAAAGCGCUCGUAGGAGGUAUGUCAAGUCAAGGGUGAAAUCCCCGCGCUCAACGUGGGAACUGCCUUUGAAACUGGCAAACUGGAGUGUGUGAGAGGAUAGUGGAAUUCCAGGUGUAGGAGUGAAAGCCGUAGAUAUCUGGAGGAACAUCAGUGGCGAAGGCGACUAUCUGGCACAUAACUGACGCUGAGGAGCGAAAGCGUGGGUAGCAAACAGGAUUAGAUACCCGGGUAGUC
Molecule: ribosomal RNA, 465 nt
Filed under: uncultured bacterium
Lineage: Bacteria
Description: partial 16S ribosomal RNA
Rfam family: Bacterial small subunit ribosomal RNA
Source: RNAcentral